Molecule: unclassified non-coding RNA, 2784 nt
Filed under: Neodiprion lecontei (redheaded pine sawfly)
Lineage: Eukaryota; Metazoa; Arthropoda; Insecta; Hymenoptera; Diprionidae
Description: far upstream element-binding protein 1, transcript variant X7
Source: RNAcentral
AUGAUCCGAUGCUGACGCUUGCGCGUUGUGGUGUUAAUUGUGGAUUUCACUAACUGCCCCAGCUAUUCUUGUGUGAAAUAAAAUAGCAAGAAAGUAGCGUCGGUUUUCGUUCAGUCGCGUUCCGAGUUUACAUCCUACAACCAAAUAAAAACUACAGUAACUGAAGUUUUUCUGCCUACGCGAGAUACGGACAGGGAGAAAUAACGAGCCUUUCAUCGUCCUUCCCCUUCAUGGUUCAUCAUGAGUGAUUAUUCAGCGGUCGCUCCGCCACAAAAUUUCAGUCAAAGUUCCGCGUUUGCAGCUGCCCUGCAACGUGCCAAACAGAUUGCAGCUAAAAUAAAUCCUGCCGGUUCUCAAAGUAAUACGGAACCAAAGUUAAAGCGUCCUCUUGAAGAUUGUCCAGGUGAGGCAAAUCAAUCUCUUCACACUUCAGAGCCAGAAGCAAAAAAAGUGGCGGCUUUAGUAGCAGAUCCUAUGAUUGGGCUACGGGGGGGCCCACCUACUGGUACUUCUAUCAGUGAAGUUGCGGCUCAGGCAGCUGUAGCUGCCCGAGUGGCUGUUCAGUCGACUUCACCUCCUGCCGUCAUGGCUGGAAUGGGAGGUAUCUGUAAUGAGGAUAUUAGAGUCCCAGACAAAAUGGUUGGGCUAAUAAUUGGCAGAGGUGGAGAACAAAUAACUAGAUUGCAAAGUGAAACUGGGUGCAAGAUACAAAUGGCGCCAGAGAGUGGCGGAUUGCCAGAACGUGUUUGUACUCUCACAGGGUCCAGAGAAGCCGUCAAUCGUGCUAAAGAGUUAGUCCUCUCCAUUGUUAAUCAAAGAAGCAGAACGGAGGGCAUUGGUGACAUGAAUAUUGGUAGCGGUAACAGCGCACUUAUUGGCCAUCCCGGGUUUGUUGAAAUAAUGAUACCUGGUCCUAAAGUUGGUUUGAUCAUUGGCAAAGGGGGAGAAACGAUUAAGCAACUACAAGAGAAGUCCGGGGCCAAGAUGGUCGUUAUUCAAGAAGGCCCUUCUCAAGAACAAGAAAAACCACUCAGAAUAACGGGAGAUCCGCAAAAAGUUGAAUAUGCUAAACAGCUAGUGUACGAGUUGAUAGCUGAGAAAGAGAUGCAAAUGUUCCAUAGAGGAUCACAAAGAGGAGGUUCUGACAGAGGGGGAACAAAUUAUAAUAAUACUGACAAUGGGUUCAGCCAUGGCUCUCAAAGUGGCGACGGUGUUGAGGUUCUUGUACCACGAGCCGCAGUGGGUGUUGUUAUUGGAAAAGGUGGUGACAUGAUAAAAAAAAUUCAAGCUGAGACAGGAGCCCGUGUACAAUUCCAACAAGGUAGAGAAGACGGUCCAGGUGACCGAAAGUGUUUGCUUUCCGGUAAACAUCAAGCAGUGGAACAAGCACGACAACGCAUUCAAGAAUUAAUUGACAGUAGACGAGAUGACGGGCGGAAUCCCAUGGCUGGUGGUGGCAGAGGAGCAGGGGGACCACGUGGUAAUGGUUUCGGUAGUGGUCGUAAUUCAAACGAAUUCGGUGGCGGGUGGGACAGGCGCCAAGGUGGCCCAAUGCAAGACAAAGUUGAAACAACAUUCACUGUUCCAUCGACCAAGUGUGGAAUCAUCAUUGGCAAAGGUGGAGAAACUAUCAAACAAAUCAAUCAACAAACUGGAGCUCACUGCGAACUUGAUCGGCGGAAUCAGAGUAACGAAAAUGAAAAGAUAUUCAUAAUACGCGGAAAUCCGGAACAGGUCGAACAUGCGAAAAGAAUAUUCAGUGAGAAACUUGGAUUGAGUCCAGGAGGAGCCCCCUUUACAGCAGGGCAAGGGGCUAUUGGAUACAAUCCAAACUGGAAUUCUGGAUCAGGAUAUCAAUCUUGGCCAAACCAAGCUCAGUCCAGUGAUACAGCUGGCCCUGGUGCAACUCCUGGUGGAGUACAUGUUAACCCGCAAACAGGACAACCAGAUUACAGUGCACAAUGGGCGGAAUAUUACAGAUCACUUGGUAUGCACAGAGAAGCUGACAUGAUCGAGCAACAGGCGAAACAAGGAAAACCUGAUCAGGCUCAACCACAGCCAGGAAAUACUCCGAGUCAAGCCAAUCCAACCCCAGCUGGAACUGCCGGAGCUGUUCCACAGCAGCAACAGCAACAACCACAAACUGCAGCACAGAAUGGAGGUCAAGCGGAUUACAGUGCCCAGUGGGCAGAGUAUUAUAGAAGUAUCGGGAAGAUUAAGGAAGCUGAAGCAAUAGAGGCACAAAUGAAAGCUGGCAAGCUGGGUUUGCAGGGAAGUCAAUUAGCGCAACCCCAAAUGCAACAAGCUUUACAGGGGCAAUCCGCCGGUCCGCCGACUGGAACACCAACCUCUUUUCCCCAAAGUUACGGAAGCUAUCCAGGAAUGGGUCCCGGGUCUGCUCCAGCCGGUUAUUACGCUGGUAGCACGGGUUCCGCCAGCCAACCGCAAUCAGGCCAGCAGGCUCCUCCCUUCCCAGCUGGAUAUCAGAAUUAUCCAUACUCCCAGCCGAGCUCCGAUAAUUAAUAAGCAACGGAUGAAAAAUGAAAACAAUGAACAAUACCUGUCCAUGAUGGGAGAAGGCUGGCAUCAACGCUCUCUGUGCGUCAUCUUCAUUGAGAGAUCAAACGAGGUCCCUAGCGACAUAUUCUACAGUUACAGCCAUUUCCGAAAAUCGAGGAGUUACCCUGUUGUCAUACAAGCAUGUUGAAUUAAGAAUUAAAUAACUUUACUGAGAAUCUUGUUUUUCUUUUGUCUUUCAAUAAAUAAAUUACUUGCUCAAUCACA